CAUCCAUCCAGUCCUGAUUCAAGGCGCAGCGGAGUAACCGCGUUCAAUCCAUCCAGUCUAGAUGACUGGUGUGCGUUGCUCGAUUGGAUCCGUCGGAGGUGCGGGAUGGGACCGAGGCAAGCCGAUGCGUGCGAUCGAUCGACCGGAGGAGCGGAGCAGCCCUCGCGUGCCGGACGUCGCAAUGCGUGCGAUCCGACCUUCGCCGUGGCCUGCAGUGCGUUCAGGUGGUGGGGGGCAUGGAAUCCCAGGCGCCGACACGAGGCUGUGGCGCGAGCAUUGAAUCAUGCGCUGUCGAUUCGAGUUUCAUUUGUUGGUGAUUCCAUAAUUAAAUUGCAGUUUCUACACGCCAUUACUGGUAAUGGUAUGUGCCGCUCGAGUCCUCCAAUAAUUCAGAGCUAUGUCUUUACUGUACGCGCCUCCAUAUGAUCCGUUUUGCUGCUCUUUGUCAAUUCCCCUCCAGCCCUCCUGCAAAAUCUUCUCCCGCAACCAUGACUGUUCGUGGCCUGUCUGACAUACUUCCUACUACCUCUUCCUUUCCCCAAACUUGUGCAUAUCCAUGUUCUUAUUUAGACUACUCUUUUUGUUCCCAAAUGAUUGCAGGUUUUCUAGCUCGUUGGAGUUUGCUUGCGGUGGGCUUGCUCUUCGCUGGUUCUGCUUGAUUACAAGGUGAAGCACUACCCAGUGUUCUGUGAUACCGUUCCUUCAACCUUGCACGCCCCCACCCCUCGCAAUAGCAGGCGACACCUGGAGAUGGCGACGGCAGCAUUGCCAGCUGCACUCAUGCGCCUCUUCCCCCGUCAGACUGACUUUCGUCCUUGGUGACUCAUGGUGCGGCCUCUAUCUUUAUGAUUUUCUUUUUCCACCCGAUGAUUACAUUAUUUCCUCCCAAUCUAAAUUUUGUACAGUAAUUAUAAAUACUGGGAGGUUGUCAAUUGAUUUGACCAGAUACUGGAGAAUGGUAUCGAGUUUUUAUUCCAAAUUCUUCGGCCGAUAAUCUCUAAUGGCUUCCCAACAGGUUAAUUAGAACACUAUAGUAAAAUGCGAAAAAAAUUUGUAGCCGUACUGUUCUAGAGGAGGGGUGAAGCCUCAAUAUGGUCUGCUUCUAUCCACAAAUGAGCAAAGCUCAAUAAUCUUGCGGACAUUUCUACAUAUGUAUGUGGAUUUUCAAGACAGGUACAGGCAUUGCAUCAUUCCAAGCAUAAGGUGAGUUUCUUUCUAGAAUUCGAACAGAAUAUGAAUCAAGCUGCAAGGAACUUCACUCCAAGAGAUCUCAGAUCCAUGCCUAAAACUGAAACUUCUCAGUUCUUGACAAACUAAUAGUAUUUCACAAUGUGCUCACGUUUUUGUCGCCUUCCAUGUAGAUGCAGCCUUUCCCUUCUGGGAUGUUCAUGCGCAGCUUUUUCUAACUUACAGUAUUGAAUUUUCAUCCAGAUUAUCACCGAUGGAACCACCAGCUAAUAAAAUGGGGCAGAAAUGCGUCCUCUAUUUGCUCAUACCAUGCACACGAAUGGAUAAUGAAAUAAGUUAUUUACUCUUCAGUUACACAUAAAUCUAAAUAGUUCUCUUCUAUUUUCUCCCUACCAUGCACGAGAGAGUAGUUAUUUACUCUUCAGUUACACAUAGCAUCUAAAUAGUAGUAAUUGAUAUCCUAUAAAAACCUUAAUUUGGAUCCAUCAACUGAUAAUCAUGCAAUCAGUUAACCUCGCUGCUCACAUGCCAUCCCUCUAUUUAUAUACAUGUUUGUAGCUAAGUAGCAACUGACAUCUUAUAAAUAUCAUUAAUUUCCACUGGCCAUUAACAAUUCUGCAUCCAUUUAAACUGACUGCUACGUGCCAUCCCUCUGCUUACAUAGAACGUCUGUAGUAGAUAUUGGAACACUCAACAAUUCCUACUCGUAGGUACCACGCCUACACUCUCCUUAUGUAUUACGCUGGUGCUGUGAGGAAUCUGGCUGGAGCAAAACCAAUGCAUUUUCAAGGCAAAACAUGCACCGGCUGCUGACAUGGUGGCGGCGAGCCGACAAGCCGUCCAACUAUGGCGCCAAGCUGGAGCAAAGUGCUUAGAACUACCUUUUGUUGAGCUACCGGCAGGAAUCGACUAAUGUAACUUUUCAUUUUUUGGACCCUUUGAUCUUCGGAUCUACGCCAUGUGUUUGCUUUUCCCAUUGCUUCCUGCUUAAUAUAUGAAUGCCGGCAGCGCUGGAUCUUUCAAAAAAAAAACACUCUCCUUAUGUAUAUUUGUCUACUUUGCACUCAAACGUAGAUGAAUCAAUCUGGGGAUGAGUCUCAUCCAAGGAUGGCUUAAAGUAUAGAGCAUGCAUUAGAUGAUACGUUGAACCACGAUGAAUCUACUCACUCCUCCUCAAAGAUAUAUCAUGUGGUGACAAAACCUAUGCAAGAAACCUUCAAGCCACCGACCCUAAAGAUAAUGUUCAACUAAGCACGAGGCGUACAAGGAUCCUUCCACGUUCAAUUCCUUUCACAGAAUUAGACCCAAGUUCUUCACUUGGAAGUUAUUAUUAACCCAACAUAUGUUUUUGCUGCCACCUAAUUAUGAAACCAAAAUUUGUAUAUUGUCAGGAAAGAUUGGAAUUCUGUGAAAGGAAUUGGAUGUGUAAUGUUUUAGAUCAUAUAGUCCCAGUAUUAUUAAGCCAUCAUGUACUUGAAGUUAUUUGUGCCCUUAGAAUGCCGCGUUUAGCAAAUCUAAGAACAUGCCCUUCCUUCAGUUAUGUACUCAUAAGUAUUUGGCAGA
Triticum aestivum (bread wheat) is the source of this 2751-nucleotide long non-coding RNA. RefSeq lists it as uncharacterized. The transcript has 3 exons. NCBI's taxonomy places the organism in Eukaryota, Viridiplantae, Streptophyta, Magnoliopsida, Poales, Poaceae. The record is from RefSeq and is a predicted model, not a curated record.